UGAACGCUGGCGAGAUGCCUUACACAUGCAAGUCGUACGGGGAUUUUUAAUUCAAGUGGCGGACGGGUGAGUAACACGUAAGAAUUUGCCUUUAGGAGGGGGACAACAACUGGAAACGGUUGCUAAUACCCCAUAUGCUUUCGAGUGAAAUGGAUUUUUCCGCCUAAAGAAAAGCUUGCGGCUGAUUAGCUUGUUGGUGAGGUAAUGGCUCGCCAAGGCGACGAUCAGUAUCUGGUUUGAGAGGAUGAUCAGACACACUGGAACUGAGACACGGUCCAGACUCCUACGGGAGGCAGCAGUGGGGAAUUUUCCGCAAUGGGCGAAAGCCUGACGGAGCAAUCUCGCGUGAGGGAUGACGGCCUAUGGGGUUGUAAACCUCUUUUUUUCAGGGAGGAACAAAAUGACGUGUACCUGAAGAAUAAGCAUCGGCUAACUCCGUGCCAGCAG
This 447-nucleotide ribosomal RNA is filed under the name uncultured bacterium. Its description in RNAcentral is "bacterial SSU rRNA". It matches the Rfam family "Bacterial small subunit ribosomal RNA", at positions 30 to 514 of the family's 1533-position model. The record is from RNAcentral.